CCAAGGAGUCUAAUUAGGCAUCGAGUCGAUCGGUCUUGAUAGGCCAGACUGGAGCAAUUGAGUUCUAAAUGAAGGCACAGAGAAAUCAAAUCAUGUGAUCAUUUCAACAAUACCAGUUGAUUUGCGCAACAUGUACCUGCUCGUAUAGCAAUGUGCAGCAAUGUACUUGCUGGGCGGAGUAAAGAGAUGCUUGAUUGGUACCCGAAAGAUGGUGAACUAUGCUUGGGCAAAUUGAAGCCAGAGGAAACUCUGGUGGAGGAUUGUAGCGAUUCUGACGUGCAAAUCGAUCGUCAGACCUGAGUAUAGGGGCGAAAGACUAAUCGAACCAUC
RNAcentral lists this ribosomal RNA (330 nucleotides) under Phyllocoptes piceanis. RNAcentral's name for it is "eukaryotic LSU rRNA". It matches the Rfam family "Eukaryotic large subunit ribosomal RNA", at positions 666 to 944 of the family's 3401-position model. Lineage: Eukaryota; Metazoa; Arthropoda; Arachnida; Trombidiformes; Eriophyidae. The record is from RNAcentral.